This 494-nucleotide ribosomal RNA is filed under the name uncultured bacterium. RNAcentral's name for it is "partial 16S ribosomal RNA". It matches the Rfam family "Bacterial small subunit ribosomal RNA", at positions 30 to 507 of the family's 1533-position model. The record is from RNAcentral.
AUUGAACGCUGGCGGCAUGCUUUACACAUGCAAGUCGAACGGCAGCGGGGAGGAGCUUGCUUCUCUGCCGGCGAGUGGCGAACGGGUGAGUAAUACAUCGGAACGUGUCGAGAAGGGGGGGAUAACCACCCGAAAGGGUUGCUAAUACCGCAUAAAUUCUGAGGAAGAAAGCUGGGGACCUAGGAAUAGGCCUAGCGCUUUUUGAGCCGGCGAUGUCGGAUUAGCUAGUUGGUGAGGUAAAGGCUUACCAAGGCGAAGAUCUGUAGCGGGACUGAGAGGAUGGUACGCCACAAUGGAAGUGAGACAGCGACCAGACUCCUACGGGAGGCAGCAGUGGGGAAUUUGGGACAAUGGGGGCAACCCUGAUCCAGCCAUGCCGCGUGUAUGAAGAAGGCCUUAGGGUUGUAAAGUACUUUUGUUAGGGAAGAAAAGUCAGCUGCGAAUAAUGGCUGAUACUGACGGUACCUAAAGAAUAAGCACCGGCUAACUACGUG